Long non-coding RNA from Scylla paramamosain (green mud crab), 1699 nucleotides. RefSeq lists it as uncharacterized. The transcript has 4 exons. Lineage: Eukaryota; Metazoa; Arthropoda; Malacostraca; Decapoda; Portunidae. The record is from RefSeq and is a predicted model, not a curated record.
GAGGCAUCAGACUCCUCUUGUUAUAUAAUUGCCAUAACAUGAGCUCGGCAGUAGCUAGACACACGCCACUAGCUCAGAAGCUCCUCUCCUUGGGGUGACCAGUUGGAGGACAUGACAGCGCUCACUUACCAGAGUGUGCGAGAGACUGCCAUUACGUAGAUCUCACAGACAUUCAAAACUGGGCGACUUCCUAUUCAAGCUCAAGUUUACGUGAAUCAGCCAUGAGGUGGGAGAGGGGAAGUGAGCCUGCCAGCCUGUCUGCCUUCUAGCCAAGUAACAGAAGCCUACAAAGAGGAAUGGAAGAGCCUCACAACAAGUGUGUUUUCAUGGAACACCAUCAGUAACAGUAACCCUUACACCCUCAACACAAGCUGGGUAAGCAUGACAUACAGUUCGUCUCUUUCCUGGGGGACCUCUACAAUGGCAAACAAGGAGACUUUACUUCUUAUCUAAGAAAAUCUGCUUCCUGACUCUGAAGGCUGAAGCACGAUCAGCAGCACAGCAAGGCCACACAUUCCAGGAAAUCUGCUCCCUGACUUUCAAGACAAGCAGGAACAUGAAGCAGCACAGCAAGGCCACACACAUCAGCACUGGUGCAACAACUCUGAAAAGCAUCUAGGCUGUGUGCAUUGUGGGAUUUGAGAUGAGUGUGCCAUAACUUGCAUACUAUAUAGCAUUAGUCCAUUCACUCAUAGCUUGGAACCAAAGCUACUUUUGUAAUGCCACAGAUUGGUCUUGUAAUGCCACAGAUUACUCAGUGGCUCAAUCACUUAACCAUACAGACUGGCUUACUUUUCUUCCCAUGGCUCAAUCACUUUCCCAUACAGACUGGCUUACUUUUCUUCCCUCUAUCUUCUUUAUUUUGUGCAAUAUUUACUUGGUUUCAAGAUCAUUGGGCAGAAAAAUAUUAAUAAUAUUAAUACCAAUAGUAAAUUAUACAAAUGGGUUAAAAUUUACUAGACAAUAAUUGAGUCUUGAUCAUGAUGCUACAUUUCUCCCAAUCAUUUACUAUGCUUCUUUUUUCUCGCUACAUUUCUCCCAAUCAUUUACUAUGCUUCUUUUUUCUCCCAAUCAUUUAAUUCACCACAAACAUAUUAUCCUCAGCUCCCCUGUCCACUCAGAACCCAUUUUGUUCCUCACCUAGCACUCCAGCCCUCUUAAUCCAUUUACACAAUCUCUCAUUCAACACUACACACUAAAAACACAUUGCCUGCUUAUUCAUUAAUGCAUUUGCCCUAAAAUUCAGCUCUUUCUUACUCCUCCCUUAUGCAGCAGUCACCCUGUAUUCAUUCCACAUUCUUGGCACUCUCUCUCCUCCUCCCACACCUGGUUAAAUACCUCGGUCAUCCUGUCAGUCACAACUUUCUCUAUUUUUAUACAUCUCAUAGGAUAUUUCAUCUUGCAAGGAAGAACAAGUUCCAGCAUCUACACUAAAGUGGAGAAAGGCUGACUGAACCACACAACAAUCAAUGAUAAGGUUACAAAAGUAGCUUAUACUCUAGUUGCAAGUUUUGAGUGAUUGGACCAUACAGUGUGAGGUGCACUAUGGCAGACAAUAUACUCACAGGUGGGACUUGCCAUGGCAAUUCUUCUCAAAUCUCCACUUGCUCAUUGAAGUUCCUCACUGCAUUGCUGCACCUUAGAAUGUUCACUGUCCAGGUUCCACACUUCAUAUUAAGACUACUUCUGAACCUGUAAA